UUCAAUUUUUAGUUGUAUUCAUUCAUAUUUAAAAAUAAUAAAAUUAUGAGUUUUUAAUUUUUAACUAGUGAGGUUUUCUUCAACGUUCUUGUUGAAUGGGAAUUGAUUCAACUUAUUAAAGUAAAUCCUUGUGGUGUUUUAUUAAUCCUUCUUGAAUUAAUUUCACUUACCAAGGUUCCAUCUUGUGGUACUUAAUCAAUUCAAAUUAUCAUCCCAAUU
This 219-nucleotide long non-coding RNA is filed under the name Carica papaya (papaya). RNAcentral describes it as "long non-coding RNA (CPAP_LNC007719)". Lineage: Eukaryota; Viridiplantae; Streptophyta; Magnoliopsida; Brassicales; Caricaceae. The record is from RNAcentral.